GACGAACGCUGGCGGCGUGCUUAACACAUGCAAGUCGAACGGAAAGGCCCUGCUUUUGUGGGGUGCUCGAGUGGCGAACGGGUGAGUAACACGUGAGUAACCUGCCCUUGACUUUGGGAUAACUUCAGGAAACUGGGGCUAAUACCGGAUAGGAGCUCCUGCUGCAUGGUGGGGGUUGGAAAGUUUCGGCGGUUGGGGAUGGACUCGCGGCUUAUCAGCUUGUUGGUGGGGUAGUGGCUUACCAAGGCUUUGACGGGUAGCCGGCCUGAGAGGGUGACCGGCCACAUUGGGACUGAGAUACGGCACAGACUCCUACGGGAGGCAGCAGUGGGGAAUAUUGCACAAUGGGCGGAAGCCUGAUGCAGCAACGCCGCGUGCGGGAUGACGGCCUUCGGGUUGUAAACCGCUUUCGCCUGUGACGAAGCGUGAGUGACGGUAAUGGGUAAAGAAGCACCGGCUAACGACG
This 466-nucleotide ribosomal RNA is filed under the name uncultured bacterium. Its description in RNAcentral is "partial 16S ribosomal RNA". It matches the Rfam family "Bacterial small subunit ribosomal RNA", at positions 28 to 505 of the family's 1533-position model. The record is from RNAcentral.